Small nuclear RNA from Ailuropoda melanoleuca (giant panda), 108 nucleotides. NCBI's taxonomy places the organism in Eukaryota, Metazoa, Chordata, Mammalia, Carnivora, Ursidae. The record is from Ensembl.
GUGCUCGCUUCGGCAGCACGUAUACUAAAAUCGGAAUGAUCUAGAGAAGAUUUAGCGUGGCCCCGGCAUGAGGAUGACACACAGAUUCCUGACAUUUGCUCUGAGGCA